CAUCACGUACGCAUGUGCACACAGGCAUGCAGCAGUCUUUCGCUCUUUCUUGCUCUCCCUCUGUGUGACGUUAUGGUCUACGUGCGGCUCAUUACCCCGGCGCUGGCGAGGCUGCUCGAUGCGGCGGCCACCGCGCCUGAAAUAGAGCAGGUCCGGCGUGACUUUAUCGAGGAACGCCUGCACGCUCUUGUGCACACACAGUCACCAUCCCAGCUGGAGGGUGCCCUGUGGAUCUACAUCGUCUCUCAGCAGCAACUGCUUUCGAGAACCGCGCACGACUCCAAAGCCCCGGCUCAGCAGCAGGGAACGAACUGCGGCGCGCUUGAAGCGCCAACGUCGUCCAGCAGCUCCAGCUGUCCGCUGCCGCCCUCGCUCUUGUUGCCCGAGUCCCUGACAUGUAUCAGCGACGCCGUGCGGUGGUACUGUGGCGAGUUGCCGGUGCCUGCUGCUUGCCCGGCAGCUGAUGAGUGCGAGGCGGCUUCACAGACGACGCCGCAGCCGCCGCAGGGGGCGCAACAAGAGAAGCAGCCAAAGUCAAAGACGGUCAUCCACAUCAAGCGAGAGCCUUGUGCCUUGCCGGCAGAGCAACCGGGAGCACGGAUCGAUGAGCUCCUUCGACAGCGCCAGCAGCCGGCCCCGUUACCAGCGCCGUCGCAGCCGGCUCAGCGCCGCGAGCAGGCAGCUGGGCCCCUUGCUACCGUACAGCUGGCCCUCGAUGCACUCGCCCAGCUCAAGCGUGUUCCCGCGCUCCUUCAGCCUCGCACCAUCGCCCUUCUUGUGCGCGACUUUGUCUCGCUCUGGAGCCUCGUCUAUCUGUGCAAGCAGCUGAAGCGCCACCAGCAGUGCAAGGAGCGUCUGCUGGCGGGCACGGUGACCGCAGCGAUCGGGGAGAUGGACGUGAAACGCGGUCUCGGCGGGGACUGGAGGCGUCGCGACCGCACUCGCAUCGGGCACAGCCCUAUCGCGCACGACGCCGACGCCGAGCCCAUCGCGGUGUGCUUCCACGAUUACGAUCUGCUACUGCCAUGGGACCUUGUCCAGCGUGUAUUGUCGCCGCCAGAUGUCUCCAUGGCAGCCACUGCAGCGCAGUGUCGAGCCGUGGAGGAGGCCAGGGCUGGCGCGCUGUCUUCCGCGUCUGCAAGAACGGCCGCCACCUCCCCUGCCUUCGCGCUCAUCCUGAACCCUGCAGUGACGCCUAUGGACGACAACCCAGACCGUCUACGCAAGAACGCACGCAUCGACGCCAUUGACAAGGCUGCCAGCAAGUACUACUACGCCUUGCUGUCAGCUCGCGCGCACGGGCAGACAAGUGAGCACAUCCGCGGCGCACCGUCAGGAGCCUCCUCUGCGUCCGCCGCGGUCCACCAAGAGGCGUUGCGCAGCUCCUUGACGACAGUGGACAUUGGCGAGUACGGUGUGCUCGACCCUUCGAGGAUGCGCGCGCCGUCCUACCUUGCAGGAGCGAAUAGGUCACUCUCUGGUGGCGUCGGCGGCGGGUCGUCGAGAGCGGCGUCGGCAAGUUCGGAGACGGCCGCCAAGUCGUAUGCGUUAUUUCUGCGCGACGCCUCGAUCGGCUUCGACAUCCAGGUGAUGGCCCUCACCGGCGCCGGUGUUGGCUACUACCUCGGCUACCUGCGCGGGUUGUCGUCGGAGUGGUGCACGCUGUACGCCGUGGUCGGCCUUGUGACGAUGAUGCUGGUGGACGCUGGUCUGCUCAUAAUUCGGAUAGGACGGCAGGAUGAGGCGGUGCUCAAGGCCCGCGCACGGAUUCGCCAGCAGCGGGAAAAACUGAAUAAAGAAGGCGAGAAGCUCGUACGGUCCAUGCAGGCCGCCGCAAGUCUAUCUGCGGCCGACGGUGCUGAGCUGACUUUCGCCUCCGCUGGCAAGGCAGGCGCUGCAGCCCCCCUUAAGAUGGAGACGGACCCGCACGCCAAGAAGAACCAGUAGCGCUAGCACUGACGUGCCUCGUGAAUGGCUAGCACAGGAGGUCAGAGCGACAUAUCGCCACUGGUCUCGGCGGCCAGGCCGUGGAUGGCGGGGCGGAAGCAUGGGUAGAGUGUGAGGCGGAGGGGCCGUGCUCUCAGAUGACGGAGUCGGGGCAUUGUGCCGUGACACCUGCGCGUCUGCGGCUGCUUCGCACCACGCGGAUGGGCUGCCUGUGACACAGGGCCGCGCAGGGGCUGUCGCGUGGCGCAUGGCCGCAUGCGGUGCGGGGCAGAGCCAUGGGCGCGUUCGAAAUUCAUGAAACGUCUGAGCUGCACUGCACGUUGCAUUUUUUUUUCUUGUCUGCUGCUCUCUUCCCCUCGGUGGCGGCGCAGGUGUGCGGUGGUCUGCUGGCGUGUUUGCGUGUCUCUUUGGGUGAUUCUAAGCUGCGCGAGCAGACUCGCAUCGCUGUUCGUCGGUGCCGGUUGCGGUAUGCGCACACGCGUACGCGUAAAUGCGUUUUCGCUGCGUGUCUUCGGGGACGGAGGGAGUUCAGGCGGGGGUGGUUCAAUGGAAGCCCGUCACGGCACACCCCGCUCUCACAGCAACCCGUCGAGCGGCAACGCCGGAGAGCGCA
This 2560-nucleotide unclassified non-coding RNA is filed under the name Leishmania donovani. Its description in RNAcentral is "gene:LdHU3.12.0430(CDS-product:hypothetical_prote in_conserved)". Lineage: Eukaryota; Euglenozoa; Kinetoplastea; Trypanosomatida; Trypanosomatidae. The record is from RNAcentral.